RNAcentral lists this ribosomal RNA (253 nucleotides) under uncultured bacterium. RNAcentral describes it as "partial 16S ribosomal RNA". It matches the Rfam family "Bacterial small subunit ribosomal RNA", at positions 524 to 776 of the family's 1533-position model. The record is from RNAcentral.
UACGGAGGGAGCUAGCGUUGUUCGGAAUUACUGGGCGUAAAGGGCUCGUAGGCGGCCAACUAAGUCAGACGUGAAAUCCCUCGGCUUAACCGGGGAACUGCAUCUGAUACUGGAUGGCUUGAGUUCGGGAGAGGGAUGCGGAAUUCCAGGUGUAGCGGUGAAAUGCGUAGAUAUCUGGAGGAACACCGGUGGCGAAGGCGGCAUCCUGGACCGACACUGACGCUGAGGAGCGAAAGCCAGGGGAGCAAACGGG